AUUGAACGCUGGCGGCAGGCCUAACACAUGCAAGUCGAGCGAGCGGAGGACGGGUGCGUAAUGUAUGGGGACUGCCCGAUAUAGGGCGAUAACAACUGGAAACGGCAGCUAAUACCGCAUACUAUCGGAUUACGCAUAUGGGAUUAGCUAGUAGGUGGGGUAAUGGCCCACCUAGGCGACGAUCCCUAGCUGGUCUGAGAGGAUGAUCAGCCACACUGGGACGGAGACACGGCCCAGACUCCUACGGAGGCAGCAGUGGGGAAUAUUGCACAAUGGGCGCAAGCCUGAUGCAGCCAUGCCGCGUGUAUGAAGAAGGCCUUAGGGUUGUAAAGUACUUUCAGUCGGGAGGCGUUACCGACAGAAGAAGCACCGGCUAACUCCGUGCCAGCAGCCGCGGUAAUAC
This 403-nucleotide ribosomal RNA is filed under the name uncultured bacterium. Its description in RNAcentral is "partial 16S ribosomal RNA". It matches the Rfam family "Bacterial small subunit ribosomal RNA", at positions 30 to 526 of the family's 1533-position model. The record is from RNAcentral.